Molecule: ribosomal RNA, 2905 nt
Filed under: Escherichia coli
Lineage: Bacteria; Pseudomonadati; Pseudomonadota; Gammaproteobacteria; Enterobacterales; Enterobacteriaceae
Description: bacterial LSU rRNA
Rfam family: Bacterial large subunit ribosomal RNA
Source: RNAcentral
GAGGUUAAGCGACUAAGCGUACACGGUGGAUGCCCUGGCAGUCAGAGGCGAUGAAGGACGUGCUAAUCUGCGAUAAGCGUCGGUAAGGUGAUAUGAACCGUUAUAACCGGCGAUUUCCGAAUGGGGAAACCCAGUGUGUUUCGACACACUAUCAUUAACUGAAUCCAUAGGUUAAUGAGGCGAACCGGGGGAACUGAAACAUCUAAGUACCCCGAGGAAAAGAAAUCAACCGAGAUUCCCCCAGUAGCGGCGAGCGAACGGGGAGCAGCCCAGAGCCUGAAUCAGUGUGUGUGUUAGUGGAAGCGUCUGGAAAGGCGCGCGAUACAGGGUGACAGCCCCGUACACAAAAAUGCACAUGCUGUGAGCUCGAUGAGUAGGGCGGGACACGUGGUAUCCUGUCUGAAUAUGGGGGGACCAUCCUCCAAGGCUAAAUACUCCUGACUGACCGAUAGUGAACCAGUACCGUGAGGGAAAGGCGAAAAGAACCCCGGCGAGGGGAGUGAAAAAGAACCUGAAACCGUGUACGUACAAGCAGUGGGAGCACGCUUAGCGUGUGACUGCGUACCUUUUGUAUAAUGGGUCAGCGACUUAUAUUCUGUAGCAAGGUUAACCGAAUAGGGGAGCCGAAGGGAAACCGAGUCUUAACUGGGCGUUAAGUUGCAGGGUAUAGACCCGAAACCCGGUGAUCUAGCCAUGGGCAGGUUGAAGGUUGGGUAACACUAACUGGAGGACCGAACCGACUAAUGUUGAAAAAUUAGCGGAUGACUUGUGGCUGGGGGUGAAAGGCCAAUCAAACCGGGAGAUAGCUGGUUCUCCCCGAAAGCUAUUUAGGUAGCGCCUCGUGAAUUCAUCUCCGGGGGUAGAGCACUGUUUCGGCAAGGGGGUCAUCCCGACUUACCAACCCGAUGCAAACUGCGAAUACCGGAGAAUGUUAUCACGGGAGACACACGGCGGGUGCUAACGUCCGUCGUGAAGAGGGAAACAACCCAGACCGCCAGCUAAGGUCCCAAAGUCAUGGUUAAGUGGGAAACGAUGUGGGAAGGCCCAGACAGCCAGGAUGUUGGCUUAGAAGCAGCCAUCAUUUAAAGAAAGCGUAAUAGCUCACUGGUCGAGUCGGCCUGCGCGGAAGAUGUAACGGGGCUAAACCAUGCACCGAAGCUGCGGCAGCGACGCUUAUGCGUUGUUGGGUAGGGGAGCGUUCUGUAAGCCUGCGAAGGUGUGCUGUGAGGCAUGCUGGAGGUAUCAGAAGUGCGAAUGCUGACAUAAGUAACGAUAAAGCGGGUGAAAAGCCCGCUCGCCGGAAGACCAAGGGUUCCUGUCCAACGUUAAUCGGGGCAGGGUGAGUCGACCCCUAAGGCGAGGCCGAAAGGCGUAGUCGAUGGGAAACAGGUUAAUAUUCCUGUACUUGGUGUUACUGCGAAGGGGGGACGGAGAAGGCUAUGUUGGCCGGGCGACGGUUGUCCCGGUUUAAGCGUGUAGGCUGGUUUUCCAGGCAAAUCCGGAAAAUCAAGGCUGAGGCGUGAUGACGAGGCACUACGGUGCUGAAGCAACAAAUGCCCUGCUUCCAGGAAAAGCCUCUAAGCAUCAGGUAACAUCAAAUCGUACCCAAACCGACACAGGUGGUCAGGUAGAGAAUACCAAGGCGCUUGAGAGAACUCGGGUGAAGGAACUAGGCAAAAUGGUGCCGUAACUUCGGGAGAAGGCACGCUGAUAUGUAGGUGAGGUCCCUCGCGGAUGGAGCUGAAAUCAGUCGAAGAUACCAGCUGGCUGCAACUGUUUAUUAAAAACACAGCACUGUGCAAACACGAAAGUGGACGUAUACGGUGUGACGCCUGCCCGGUGCCGGAAGGUUAAUUGAUGGGGUUAGCGCAAGCGAAGCUCUUGAUCGAAGCCCCGGUAAACGGCGGCCGUAACUAUAACGGUCCUAAGGUAGCGAAAUUCCUUGUCGGGUAAGUUCCGACCUGCACGAAUGGCGUAAUGAUGGCCAGGCUGUCUCCACCCGAGACUCAGUGAAAUUGAACUCGCUGUGAAGAUGCAGUGUACCCGCGGCAAGACGGAAAGACCCCGUGAACCUUUACUAUAGCUUGACACUGAACAUUGAGCCUUGAUGUGUAGGAUAGGUGGGAGGCUUUGAAGUGUGGACGCCAGUCUGCAUGGAGCCGACCUUGAAAUACCACCCUUUAAUGUUUGAUGUUCUAACGUUGACCCGUAAUCCGGGUUGCGGACAGUGUCUGGUGGGUAGUUUGACUGGGGCGGUCUCCUCCUAAAGAGUAACGGAGGAGCACGAAGGUUGGCUAAUCCUGGUCGGACAUCAGGAGGUUAGUGCAAUGGCAUAAGCCAGCUUGACUGCGAGCGUGACGGCGCGAGCAGGUGCGAAAGCAGGUCAUAGUGAUCCGGUGGUUCUGAAUGGAAGGGCCAUCGCUCAACGGAUAAAAGGUACUCCGGGGAUAACAGGCUGAUACCGCCCAAGAGUUCAUAUCGACGGCGGUGUUUGGCACCUCGAUGUCGGCUCAUCACAUCCUGGGGCUGAAGUAGGUCCCAAGGGUAUGGCUGUUCGCCAUUUAAAGUGGUACGCGAGCUGGGUUUAGAACGUCGUGAGACAGUUCGGUCCCUAUCUGCCGUGGGCGCUGGAGAACUGAGGGGGGCUGCUCCUAGUACGAGAGGACCGGAGUGGACGCAUCACUGGUGUUCGGGUUGUCAUGCCAAUGGCACUGCCCGGUAGCUAAAUGCGGAAGAGAUAAGUGCUGAAAGCAUCUAAGCACGAAACUUGCCCCGAGAUGAGUUCUCCCUGACCCUUUAAGGGUCCUGAAGGAACGUUGAAGACGACGACGUUGAUAGGCCGGGUGUGUAAGCGCAGCGAUGCGUUGAGCUAACCGGUACUAAUGAACCGUGAGGCUUAACCUUA